UUAAAACCCUACACACUAACUUCAGACACAGCCUCUUCAACAACUUGAGGAAUUUUUAUCACAAAACGCCAACCUCUCUCCCCGAUUGAGUCACAGAGACCCCAGCCUUUGACUUAUUUGAAAUCAUCCUGAUCAAAUUCUCACUACAAUAUGCAAACUAAACCCUCUCAGAUUCAACCCAUCCUAACCCUAAGGGCCAAGAGCAACUUUUAUCUAUCAAACAUGACCUUGCGGUAUUCUACGGGUAAUUUUGAAAGUCAGGUAGGGAUUUGGCAUUUUGUUAUCUGGGUUAUUUGGUAAUACAACUACAAGACGAGCACAGUCAGGAGAGUAUAACUUAUCGUCAACAAGUGGAACAAGAGUUUAUAUUGAUUUGGAAAUUCCUAAGACUGCAAAUUUCAAAGAUCAGUAAAUGCUUUGUUUUGGAUUCAAGUUUUUAAUGUAUUUAUAUUAAAAUACACAAAAACUAAUAUGAUAUUAACAUUAUAUUUGUCUUUCUCUUAUCAGGUAUAGAAUUCAAUUAAAGGUUGAAGAUAGCUCAAGAAUGACCAUAUUCAUUUUAAUUUAAACUUAAGUUUGAUUUCUAUUUUUCAUUACAUAAUUUAUUGUUUCAUAUCAAGGAUAGGAAACUUUGAGACUGAAAUCCUAAUGUAUAAUCAAAGAGGAAGAGAAAAAGAAUUGUUUACAUCUUUAUACACAAUAAUUUUUCCGUGCAUCGCACGGGUUAGCGACUAGUUAAAAUUAUAUUUUCAACACUCAACUUUACUACAGUUUGUAACAAGCUACG
Molecule: long non-coding RNA, 787 nt
Organism: Quercus lobata
Lineage: Eukaryota; Viridiplantae; Streptophyta; Magnoliopsida; Fagales; Fagaceae
Exons: 3
Source: RefSeq, a predicted model, not a curated record